RNAcentral lists this long non-coding RNA (3575 nucleotides) under Arachis ipaensis. Its description in RNAcentral is "long non-coding RNA (AIPA_LNC000379)". Lineage: Eukaryota; Viridiplantae; Streptophyta; Magnoliopsida; Fabales; Fabaceae. The record is from RNAcentral.
AACUUCAGAAUUAUUUCACUCGAGAACCCCAACUCCUCAGUCCUCAUCACCACCAACACUUCGUCACUAUCUCAUCAAACCCCAAAUACGUUCUGCCGUCGCACCAUCCACUCGAGAACCAUCGGUGUCGGCACUCCUCUUCCACACUCACCGCUCCUCUGAUCCCGUCGCUCACCGCUCCUCUGAUCCCGUCGCUCACCAUCAGUCGUCUUCGCGGCGUGCUCACAUCGGUCGUCAGCUUUGUCCUCUGAUCCCGUCGCUCACCAUCGUGGUGGAGAAGGUAUCUACUCACGCCCAUUUUGUUCUAAAAUUUCAGAGGGUUAGGAUUCCGACUUUAGGGUUUUCAAUUUGGGGGUUUGGUGACCAUUUGCGGCGUGAGUGAAUUCUCGUACCCUCAUUUCUCCUUUUAAGAAUUUUAUUAUAACUUCUAUGAUGAUUGAUACUCUUGGACUCUUGGUACCAAAUGUUCAGAAACUGAUGACAGGAGAGGACCAUCAUUAAGAGCUAAAAUUGUAGGAAGUAAUCACAAGAACAAGAACAAGAAUAAAGCUAAGGUGGGGUUAGCAAAACGAAGCAAUCACAAGAACAAUUCUUUUGAAAAAUGUUUCAUCCAUCUCAGGUAAUGUUCCUGAAACCUAAACUAGAAGCUUAGUAAAAACAGAAACAAGCAUUCCUUUAAAGCUUUCGUGCCUUGGUGUGAUAUAAGAUUUUUUGAUAAAUGCUCAUAAAGAAAACAAUUCUUUAAAACAUUAUAUUCUUCAUAAAUGAGGUUAAAUAACCAGCAACAGUAAGAACUGAAAUGUGCCGGCUGUACAGAUAGGGAAGAAGAUUCUAACAAGCAAAGAGAUUAAGAUAAUAAUGCAUUCUGUAGUAAAAACACUAAAGAUACAAUCAAUAAACUGAAAUUGAAAAUAGACUGAAAAUCAGCUACUUGACUAGUAGAUAUGCAUCAAUGUGUUUCUCAAGAUCAAAUGUACUCUCCUUGUUUUCUCCUUUAUCUUCACCAUUUAGGACAUCUCUUUUAAUUAAGCUAGUUCUAUGGCCACUGAAUUGUUCUAAAAUUUGAGAGAGUUCUGAUUUUAGGGUUCCGAUUUGAUUCACUUUUUGCUUAUCAGCUUGCAUUGUUUGAUUUGAUAGGGGUGUUCUCAAGAAUAGGGCUAUUAUAAUGGCAUGUGUGUACAACUAUGCUACUCUGUGAAUUUGCUUCAGCUUGCGUUUUGCUUACUCUGGUUUGUGCAUGCCUUCAAUUUUGGUUCUUAUGAUUUUGUGCGUGCGUGUUUGUUCAGCUGCUUGAAAAUGAAAUCAUUAGUUGGUGUUUAUUCAGUUCUGUUCUAUUCUGAUUAAGCUUUUGAAUUCCAUUAUAUUGUUUAUUUGAUGUUGUCGUGAAUUGUGAUAAGACAACUGGAAAAGCAUACACAAAAUUGUACUGAUAUUGGGUGUGUUGUAGUGUUGAGUUGAGAAUCUUGAUGCGUAUUAGAAAGUAGUAUUAUGACACUGACUUCUGGUAGCUAAAGAAAGUAUCUAGUUCCAGUUGUUGGCUGAUUUGUUAUGAUAACUCUGGAUUUGUUUGAAGAAAAACUUUGGAUGAUUUGUUCUUAAAUUGGUUUAUGACCAAUUAACAGCUUCUGUAACUAAUCUUUUUAUGCAUGCUCACUGACAUAUUAGAGAUGCAUACCUAUGUAAGACACUUUUAUGGCAAACCUUAUGCAUUUUUAUUCAUGUUCUUAACAAAAUAAACUAAAUAUUUUGGUAUAAUAGCUCUAGUUGCUAGGCUGAGUAUCCUAUAAAGUAUAAACUAGACUUGAAGAUUAUAUAGUUGCAAUAAUGGAAUCACUCUUGCUGAAUGUGACAUCUUAAUGGUCAUGUUCAUGGAAUGAAAUUAUAUCUAAAGUUGCAACAUAAUAAUUAUAUUGCAAUAAUUUAAUGAAUUGUGUUCUUUUUAACUCUCUUUUUACAUAUUUAAUAUAAUUAGUGUCAUUUCAAGUGAUGAAGACACAAAUUAAAAACAUAUAUUCCAUAGUGAUAUGAUAUAUUUUGCUCGCGAUGAUUUGUAUAUGAUUUUCAAAUUGAGCAAAAUUAGUUUUUAUUUAUUUCCAUUGAGCAAAAUUCAAGCAAAACAUACUGUGAUCACAGGCAUCCAUUUUCCAUAACCUCCACCCCGGAUCAUAAUUACCCAAGCGUUCAUAUUAAGAUACUUGGUGAUUGGACUGGAAAUCUGAAAGCCAAAUUCGUUAAGGUGAAUUAAUCUUUAUUUGUUUACUUAUGUUCCUAAUUGACCCCUUUCCCGACGCCCAGAGUCACCCCUACCCUGUUGCUUCUAUAGUUAUAAUUAACCCCUUCCCCUAAUCUGCUUUUAUAGGCAGAAUUUUAAUUCCACUUUACAUUUUCUAUUCUAUCCUUUUCUUUUUUGGGUGCUCUCUCUAUCAUUUGGAUUUGCUUCCUUUUUCUGCAAUUCCUUUUGUAUUUUAUUUAAUUUUUUCCCCUUAAAAUUCUCCUUUUGUUCUUGUUGCUUUUGGACAUAAAAUUAUUAUGAAAAAAAAUUGAGAUGUGUGAUGUAGCAGUAUCUAUGAUUUUUAAUAUAUAUUGUUAAUUAGGAUUAUUAUUGUUUAUAUAUUGUUAAUUGUUAAUUAGGAUUCUGAAUAUCUACUGUUAAGUUUAAAAUUUUUAUUUGUUAGAACUUAGGAGGAUGCCAAAUCUUUUUAAUUUGAACUGAAAUUGAAGAAGAUGAAAGCUGUGAUUUGGGCUUUUUGGUUUUGUUUUUUCAUUAUGUAAUUUUAUUAUUGUUGUUAUCAGGGUGGAAGUUGUAAUUUUUCUGGUUUUUCUGAUUUUUCUGGUUUUGUUUUUUCAUUAUGUAAUUUCAUGCAAAGUUUGAGCUUCUUAUAAUGUUAAAAUAAAAAAAAAAGAAAAAUGUUAUUAUGCACUGCUUGUCACUUGCACAAUGCACUUGAGUUUCUGAUUUUAGUUCCCAUUUAGUAUGAAGUCGUGUUACUCCGUUUUUUAGUUUGUUUUUUAGUUAUGUCCUUUAUGGUGAUUUAUAGUAUUCCCUGAAUAUGAUUGUUAUUUUAAAGCAAAAGACUUUGGUUUAUUUAAUUAUUUAUUCAAACAUAGUAUGGUUUUGUUUCUUAUUUUAUGUUUUUGGUGAAAUGAAAAGAAGAGUAGUUUCAAUUAUCCUAUGCCGCUCGGAUAUUGUAUAUGUUAUUAAUAUGUUAAUUACUUUUUUCUUGUUGUACUUUUUCAAAUUAUAAUUAUUUUUCUAUAUAAUUAUGCAGGAUAAUUCUGAAGAUGUGAGUGAAGAUUGAGAUGCUGAUCAUGAUGGUUUAUUGACAAAGAUGGAAAUUGAAAGAUGUAUGGUUGAUGAUGAUAUCUUUUAUUAGAAGCUAAGAUACAUUUAUAUGAUAUAAUAUUUUGGUUUUUCCUAGUUUAUUAGCAGUAAACUCUAAGUGCAUUAUAUGAGUAUACAUUUUAUUCUAGUUUGAGAUGUAUGAAUACUCAAAAUUAUGAUCAUCCCAAUAUUUUUGGUUCAUUGUAUAAUUAUAUUUUGUUUCAGUAUAAUUUUUAUUAUUUAAAGAUUAUUG